RNAcentral lists this ribosomal RNA (124 nucleotides) under uncultured bacterium. RNAcentral describes it as "partial 16S ribosomal RNA". The record is from RNAcentral.
CCGGGGUUUCUUUACCAGGUACCGUCAUUAUCUUCCCUGGCGAAAGAGCUUUACGACCCUAGGGCCUUCGUCACUCACGCGGCAUGGCUAGAUCAGGCUUGCGCCCAUUGUCUAAGAUUCCCCA